GCCAAUUGCCGACUAAUAGUUCAGCCACGAGCCCAACACAAUCUCUACAACUAUUAAGACCCAAAUGUAGACUGCCCCCGCCUGCGAACGAAUCCCACCCGCCGCUCUGCCUCCCCCGCGGCGAAUCCCGCCCGCGCCUCCCCCGCCAUAGAACCCGCCUCCAACCGCGAAUCGCCCGCCGUGCCUUCACCCGCCGCUCCUCCAUCUCCUCCUCCUCGUCGUCGCUGCCGCCGCGCUGCGGGGGGCGCCGUUGGCGGACGCCGGCGCGGACACCUGCAAGGCGUGGUUGGUGCAGUCCAUCCCCACGGACAUGCCGCACCUGAGCCGCAUCCCCGGGGUCCUAUCCACGGGAGAUGUGCUCCAGUGGCUCUCGGGGAAUGCAACGAAGAGUCUGGACAUCCUUGCGCAGUACUGGCAGUUCUUGCCCCAGCCGAACAAUCCGAAAUCGGGGGACUACGGGUUCUCCAAGAGUGACAUGAGGAGAUUCGGGGCCGACGAGGGCCGCCGGGUUUACAAGGCACUGGAAAAUGCUGCAGACCGUAAGAUCAAAAUCAGGAUUGUCCAGCACUCUGGAUUUGCUCCUGAUUUUGACCAAGAGAGCGCAGAUCUGGCUGCAGGAAGACCAAAUGUUGAGAACGCAACCGUUCUUUUCGAGGACUGGUGGGGAUCUGGUGUUGUGCACGCAAAGGUCUGGAUAUCAGAUAAGAAGGAUGUGUAUAUAGGUUCCGCAAACAACGACUGGAAAUCCCUUACUCAGGUCAAGGAGCUUGGGAUUUAUUUUGCUGGUUGCCCACAUAUAGCAAAAACUGUGGAGGUCUAUUUUCAAAACCUGUGGACGCUUUCAACCCUCAACUCAACUUUUUACACCAAACAAGCCUGGGAUACGCAGUGGCAAGUUUCUAGAAAGGUUCCAUGCUGGUCUCAUUUCCUACAGCCCAAAGAAAGAUGCAGGGGCGGCGUGAAGCGCAUCUCCGGGCUCAUCUACGAGGAGACCCGCGGCAUCCUCAAGAUCUUCCUGGAGCAAUGCUGCUGGUUUAGGGGUUCUUCGCGCGCGCAUCCGGCCAGGCCUCCAAGGUCGGUGGCCAUGGCUCAGUGUCGCCAUCACCUCCUCCUCAUGGUUAUUGCUGCUCCGCGGCAGGCGAGAGCCAUGGGGAAGCCUUUGCUGUCCUCAUAGAUGUCGCAUUGCACCACUACCUGCGGGUCCAGCAAGCCGACCACCAGUUCAACACAGCACAUGUCCAAGGAGUUGGGGCAGGAAGAAUUUGGCAUAUACAACCUGGGCAGUCCAAGCACAAAUAGCCCUUCAUUGCCUUCAUUGGGUUCAUCUAAUAUAGUAGCAAUGACAUCUUGUGGACGUGAAAAUGGGAGUAUGCAUGGUUUGCAUUCUGGACUUCUCACAUCAAUGAGCCCGUUCAGAGAGGCUUCAUUUCUGGGUCUAUCAUCUACCCUACCACAGAGCCUGUCCUCUCCCAUUGGAAUUGCUUCUGCUGCAACUCAUAGUAACCAGGCUCCCCUUGGUGAGCUCAGCCACUCUCUUAGUCGGAUGAAUAGGCAUGUGAAUUAUGGUUUUCAAGGCUUGGGUGCUAUUCAUCCCCAUUCUCUUCCUGAUGUUCACAAUGGAGCAAAUAAUGGCACCCCUUACAAUCUGAACACCAUCACACCUGUUGGUGUCAAUAAGAACUCAAGAACAGCUGAAGCAGUUGACAGCAGACAUCUUCAUAAAGUGGGUUCUGGCAAUCUCAAUGGGCACUCAUUUGAUCGUGCCGGUGAAGGAGUUGUAAAGUGGUGGUGAUGAACACAUAAUUCACACAGGUGAGAUAGUCAAAUGAUGAAUAUAUGCACCCUGGAAGGCUGCUACUAAUUACACAUUCCUUGAACCUUCCUGUAAAAGCUUAGUAUGAAAGAUGUAAGCUUUAUUUGAAGGCAAGAACGCAUGGAGACUUUUUUUCC
Zea mays is the source of this 1950-nucleotide RNA transcript. It is a transcript of the gene named protein MEI2-like 4, with no coding region annotated. The record is from RefSeq and is a predicted model, not a curated record. The transcript is spliced from 8 exons. NCBI's taxonomy places the organism in Eukaryota, Viridiplantae, Streptophyta, Magnoliopsida, Poales, Poaceae.